AGAGUUUGAUCCUGGCUCAGAACGUACGCUGGCGGCACGCCUAACACAUGCAAGUCGAACGAAGUAGCAAUACUUAGUGGCAGACGGGUGAGUAACAUGUAGGUAUCUGCCCUUUGGCCUGGAAUAACACGAGGAAACUUGUGCUAAUACCGGAUAAGUCUUUACGGAGAAAGCUUUAUGCACCAUUGGAUGAGCCUGCACUUGAUUAGUUUGUUGGUGGGGUAAUGGCCUACCAAGACUGUGAUCAAUAGCUGAUUUGAGAGGAUGAUCAGCCACAUUGGGACUGAGACACGGCCCAAACUCCUACGGGAGGCAGCAGUGGGGAAUCUUGCACAAUGGAGGAAACUCUGAUGCAGCGAUGCCGCGUGAGUGAAGAAGGCCCUUGGGUUGUAAAGCUCUUUCGUCGGGGAAGAAAAUGACUGUACCCGAAUAAGAAGGUCCGGCUAACUUCGUGCCAGCAGCCGCGGUAAUACGAAGGGACCUAGCGUAGUUCGGAAUUACUGGGCUUAAAGAGUUCGUAGGUGGUUGAAAAAGUUAGUGGUGAAAUCCCAGAGCUUAACUCUGGAACUGCCAUUAAAACUUUUCAGCUAGAGUAUGAUAGAGGAAAGCAGAAUUUCUAGUGUAGAGGUGAAAUUCGUAGAUAUUAGAAAGAAUACCAAUUGCGAAGGCAGCUUUCUGGAUCAUUACUGACACUGAGGAACGAAAGCAUGGGUAGCGAAGAGGAUUAGAUACCCUCGUAGUCCAUGCCGUAAACGAUGUGUGUUAGACGUUGGAAAUUUAUUUUCAGUGUCGCAGCGAAAGCGAUAAACACACCGCCUGGGGAGUACGACCGCAAGGUUAAAACUCAAAUGAAUUGACGGGGACCCGCACAAGUAGUGGAGCAUGUGGUUUAAUUCGAAGAUACGCGCAGAACCUUACCAACACUUGACAUGUUCGUCGCGACUCUAAGAGAUUAGAGUUUUCGGUUCGGCCGGACGAAACACAGGUGCUGCAUGGCUGUCGUCAGCUCGUGUCGUGAGAUGUUGGGUUAAGUCCCGCAACGAGCGCAACCCUCACUUUUAGUUGCCAUCAUUAAGUUGGGCACUCUGAAAGAACUGCCAGUGAUAAGCUGGAGGAAGGUGGGGAUGACGUCAAGUCCUCAUGGCCCUUACGUGUUGGGCUACACACGUGCUACAAUGGUAUCUACAACAGGAAGCAAGACUGCGAAGUUAAGCAAAUCCCUAAAAGAUACCUCAGUUCGGAUUGCACUCUGCAACUCGAGUGCAUGAAGCUGGAAUUACUAGUAAUCGUGGAUCAGCGUGCCACGGUGAAUGCGUUCCCGGGUCUUGUACACACCGCCCGUCACACCAUGGGAGUUGGUUCUACCUUAAGGCAAGGUUUCAAACCCUUGACCACGGUAUAGUCAGCGACUGGGGUGAAGUCGUAACAAGGUAACC
RNAcentral lists this ribosomal RNA (1436 nucleotides) under uncultured bacterium. RNAcentral's name for it is "bacterial SSU rRNA". It matches the Rfam family "Bacterial small subunit ribosomal RNA". RNAcentral also lists the same sequence under 1 other name. The record is from RNAcentral.